This 865-nucleotide ribosomal RNA is filed under the name uncultured archaeon. Its description in RNAcentral is "bacterial SSU rRNA". It matches the Rfam family "Archaeal small subunit ribosomal RNA", at positions 1 to 872 of the family's 1478-position model. The record is from RNAcentral.
UUCCGGUUGAUCCUGCCGGCGGCCACCGCUAUAGGAAUUCGAUUAAGACAUGCGAGUCGAGAGUCUUCGGGACUCGGCGGACUGCUCAGUAACACGUGGAGAACGUGCCCUUAGGUGGAGGAUAAUCUCGGGAAAUUGAGGAUAAUACUCCAUAGAUCAUGGGAUCUGGAAUGACCCAUGGUUGAAAGUUCCGGCGCUUAAGGAUCGCUCUGCGGCUUAUCAGGUUGUAGUGGGUGUAACGUACCCCCUAGCCAGUGACGAGUAUGGGCCUUGAGAGAGGGAGCCCAGAGUUGGAUUCUGAGACACGAAUCCAGGCCCUACGGGGCGCAGCAGUCGCGAAAACUUCACACUGGGGGCAACCCCGAUGAGGGAAUUCCUAGUGCUAGGACAUUUGUUCUAGCUUUUCUCUAGCGUAGAUAACUAGAGGAAUAAGGGCUGGGUAAGACGGGUGCCAGCCGCCGCGGUAAUACCUGCAGCCCAAGUGGUGGUCGAUUUUAUCGAGUCUAAAGCGUUCGUAGCCGGUUUGAUAAAUCCUUGGGUAAAUCGGGAAGCUUAACUUUCCGACUUCCGAGGAGACUGUCAAACUUGGGACCGGGAGAGGCUAGAGGUACUUCUGGGGUAGGGGUAAAAUCCUGUAAUCCUAGAAGGACCACCGGUGGCGAAGGCGUCUAGCUAGAACGGAUCCGACGGUGAGGGACGAAGCCCUGGGUCGCAAACGGGAUUAGAUACCCCGGUAGUCCAGGGUGUAAACGCUGCCGACUUGGUGUUGGAGGCCCUUCGGGGGCAUUCAGUGCCGGAGAGAAGUUGUUAAGUCGGCCACUUGGGGAGUACGUCCGCAAGGAUGAAACUUAAAGGAAUUGGCGGG